Molecule: ribosomal RNA, 1415 nt
Filed under: Aristelliger praesignis (Woodslave)
Lineage: Eukaryota; Metazoa; Chordata; Lepidosauria; Squamata; Sphaerodactylidae
Description: partial 16S ribosomal RNA
Rfam family: Bacterial large subunit ribosomal RNA
Source: RNAcentral
UGCCACCCGCUAGCCCGCCAAAUACACAAACCCGUUUUCCCCACUAAACUAAAACAUCCGUCAAGCCAAGUAUCAGCGACAGAAAAGCACUCAUAGACGCAACAGCAAAAGUACCGCAAGGGACCACUGAAAAAAUAAAUGAAAUAAUACUAAAGCACAACACAGCAGGGAUCAACCCCUAUACCUUUCGCAUCAUGGUUUAGCAAGUAAUAACAGGUGUAGAGCCCUAUAACCUGUCACCCCGAAGCCAGACGAGCUACCCUGCAGCAAUCCUAAAGGAUGAACCCGUCUCUGUGGCAAAAGAGUGGGAAGACUGUGGGGUAGAGGUGAAACGCCUACCGAGCCUGGAGAUAGCUGGUUGCCCAUAAAAUGAAUUUAAGUUCAACUGCAGGCGAAACUAAACUACACAAUACAUAUCACCGACACACCUGCAAGUUAUACAAUAAGGGUACAGCUUUAUUGUAACUGAGUACAAUCAAAAUUAGAGGGACAGUAUACCCAACAACACUAGUAGGCCCUUAAGCAGCCACCAAAAAAAAUCGCGUCACAGCAUAAAACCAUAAAAUCCUAAACAAAUACUCCACCCCCUAUGACAAACUGGGCCAUUUUAACAACAACUUAAAAGAAACACUACUAAAACUAGUAAUAAGAACAAACUCUCUAACAGCACACCCUCAACUCAGAAUUAGAUAAUCUACUGAAAACUAACAGCCCACCAACACCGGACAAAACAUCCACACCAAGACACCUGCUUUCAUAAAACUGUUACACCAACACAGGAGUGCUAAAAAGACCGAUUUAAAAUCAUAAAAGGAACUCAGCUAAUAUGCCCCAACUGUUUACCAAAAACAUAGCCUUUAGCCCAGCAACAAGUAUUAAAGGUCCUGCCUGCCCAGUGACACUCUUUUAACGGCCGCGGUAUCCUAACCGUGCAAAGGUAGCGUAAUCAUUUGUCCUCUAAAUAGGGACUAGUAUGAAUGGCUAAAUGAGGGCCUAACUGUCUCUUAUGAUUAAUCAAUGAACCUGAUCUUCCCGUACAAAAGCUGGAAUAAACACAUAAGACGAGAAGACCCCGUGGAGCUUAAAACAACACCAUUACCCACCACCCAAAAAGCCUACUAGGUUACCACACCAAAUACAAUAAUGAUAGUUUUCAGUUGGGGCGACAUCGGAAUAUAAUAAAACUUCCGAGCCACAGAUUAACACCCUACCAAGACCCACAAGCCAAGGUAAACCACCAAUUUGACCCAGUACUACUGACCAUCGAACCAAGUUACCCCGGGGAUAACAGCGCCAUCCUCUUCAAGAGCCCCUAUCGACAAGAGGGUUUACGACCUCGAUGUUGGAUCAGGACAUCCCGGUGGUGCAGCCGCUACCAAAGGUUCGUUUGUUCAACGAUUAACCAGUCCUACGUG